This 1023-nucleotide unclassified non-coding RNA is filed under the name Taxodium distichum var. imbricarium. RNAcentral describes it as "partial contains internal transcribed spacer 1, 5.8S ribosomal RNA, and internal transcribed spacer 2". The stretch from base 634 to 787 matches the Rfam family "5.8S ribosomal RNA". The record is from RNAcentral. Lineage: Eukaryota; Viridiplantae; Streptophyta; Pinopsida; Cupressales; Cupressaceae.
UUACCGUAGGUGACCUGCGGUAGGAUCAUUGUCGGUUCUGGCCCCCUGAAUCGUGUAGGGUAGGAGGCGAGGGAGGCACGCCGAACUCGUCUCUUUCCCGCCCCUCGCCCUCGACGACGUGUGGACGGUCGGGCCUCGUUGCCUCAAGUCCCGCGCCGUCGGCUCGAGGUGAUCGAAUGCCGUGGUGGGGUGCAUGCCCUUUUCGGAAGAGGCCGAGUCUCUGUCCCGUCGAGUUCGCAUGCCCCGAUCGCGCGCGCGGCGCUGUGUCGGCGAUCCGUCGCUUCUGCGACGGGAAGUCGGGACUGCCGCAACCCCCCGUUACGUUUCCCAGGGGGGCAGCAUGUCGCUUGGAGCGUUCCCCGCCGUGGACGAGUGCACUCCAGUUCGUGGGGUAGGACCCGCCGUCCAGCUGCAGGGUUCUUUCUAGGCGGCAUCCUCCUGCGUGAUGCAACGGGGCGGGGACACGCACCUUCCCCCGGCGACCCUCCAUCGAGGGCACUGGCGGACGGUUUGUGUCAACACCUUACACACCGGUGCGACCCGCACCAAGAAGUCCAAAAACAUUGAAGCGUGGCCCAAGCGCCUUGUGCGUUUGGGUCGCCAGAAAAGCAUUGAAUGCUAAAAAAAAAACACGACUCUCGGCAACGGAUAUCUCGGCUCUCGCCACGAUGAAGAAUGUAGCGAAAUGCGAUACUUAGUGUGAAUUGCAGAAUCCCGUGAAUCAUCGAGUCUUUGAACGCAAGUUGCGCCCGAGGCUUCGGCCGAGGGCACGUCUGCUUGGGCGUCGCACUCCAAAAUCGCCCUCCCCCACGGAGGAGCGGAGAUGGCCGUCCGUGCCCGCCAGCGGCGCGGUCGGCUGAAAUGAGCACGAGGUCCCUCGCCCCGUCGCGACGAGCGGUGGCCUAUGCGGGUCGGCGUUGGUUUGUGCGGGUCGAGUGAGGCCAAGUGUAGAACUUUAACCGGGCUACAGCGCCCUGCCAACGUGCGGGUGCGCUUGGCCCCUGCCGCGUCCCCAAGUCAGGC